CCCCCCGAGCAGUGACCACCAAUGUGCUUUUUUUUUAUCUCUUAAAUGCAAAAUGUUGUCUAUGACUUUCAAUAAAUGAGAACUAAACACCAACUGUCCAUGUGCUAAGUGGCAGCUUCUAGUCAACACACAGCUUUGUGUGACUCCUCAUACCAGAUAUAGAAAGUGAGGGGGGCAGAUAGAGAAUUCAGGAACCAGUCACACCUAGGAGCCAUUCUUCAAUGUGUUUUCCAUUAGACUGCAGUAGAAGAGUAUUGCCUGAAUGUUGAUCCACCACUAGUAUUCGACUGCAGUAGGAGAGUAUGGCCUGAAUGUUGAUCCACCACUAGUAUUCGACUGCAGUAGGAGAGUAUGGCCUGAGCGUUGGUCCACCACUAGUAGUAGACUCCCAUAGAAGAGUAUGGCCUGAGCGUUGGUCCACCACUAGUAGUAGACUCCAGUAUAAGAGUAUGGCCUGAGCGUUGGUCCACCACUAGUAGUAGACUCCCAUAGAAGAGUAUGGCCUGAGCGUUGGUCCACCACUAGUAGUAGACUCCAGUAUAAGAGUAUGGCCUGAGCGUUGGUCCACCACUAGUAGUAGACUCCAGUCAGUAUAAGAGUAUGGCCUGAGCGUUGAUCCACCACUAGUAUUAGACUCCUGUAGAAGAGUAUGGCCUGAGCGUUGGUCCACCACUAGUAGUAGACUCCAGUAGAAGAGUAUGGCCUGAGCGUUGGUCCACCACUAGUAGUAGACUCCCGUAGAAGAGUAUGGCCUGAGCGUUGGUCCACCACUAGUAUUAGACUCCUGUAGAAGAGUAUGGCCUGAGCGUUGGUCCACCACUAGUAGUAGACUCCCGUAGAAGAGUAUGGCCUGAGCAUUGGUCCACCACUAGUAGUAGACUCCCGUAGAAGAGUAUGGCCUGAGCGUUGGUCCACCACUAGUAGUAGACUCCAGUAUAAGAGUAUGGCCUGAGCGUUGGUCCACCACUAGUAGUAGACUCCCGUAGAAGAGUAUGGCCUGAGCAUUGAUCCACCACUAGUAGUAGACUCCCGUAGAAGAGUAUGGCCUGAGCGUUGGUCCACCACUAGUAGUAGACUCCAGUAGAAGAGUAUGGCCUGAGCGUUGAUCCACCACUAGUAGUAGACUCCCGUAGAAGAGUAUGGCCUGAGCGUUGGUCCACCACUAGUAGUAGACUCCAGUAUAAGAGUAUGGCCUGAGCGUUGGUCCACCACUAGUAGUAGACUCCAGUCAGUAUAAGAGUAUGGCCUGAGCGUUGAUCCACCACUAGUAUUAGACUCCUGUAGAAGAGUAUGGCCUGAGCGUUGGUCCACCACUAGUAGUAGACUCCAGUAGAAGAGUAUGGCCUGAGCGUUGGUCCACCACUAGUAGUAGACUCCCGUAGAAGAGUAUGGCCUGAGCGUUGGUCCACCACUAGUAUUAGACUCCUGUAGAAGAGUAUGGCCUGAGCGUUGGUCCACCACUAGUAGUAGACUCCAGUAGAAGAGUAUGGCCUGAGCGUUGGUCCACCACUAGUAGUAGACUCCCGUAGAAGAGUAUGGCCUGAGCGUUGGUCCACCACUAGUAGUAGACUCCAGUAUAAGAGUAUGGCCUGAGCGUUGAUCCACCACUAGUAGUAGACUCCAGUAGAAGAGUAUGGCCUGAGCGUUGGUCCACCACUAGUAGUAGACUCCCGUAGAAGAGUAUGGCCUGAGCAUUGAUCCACCACUAGUAGUAGACUCCCGUAGAAGAGUAUGGCCUGAGCGUUGGUCCACCACUAGUAGUAGACUCCAGUAGAAGAGUAUGGCCUGAGCGUUGAUCCACCACUAGUAGUAGACUCCCGUAGAAGAGUAUGGCCUGAGCGUUGGUCCACCGCUAGUAUUAGACUCCAGUAGAAGAGCAUGGCCUGAGUGUUGGUCCACCACUGGUAAUAGGCGAUGAAGGGCUAUUACAUUACUGUAGAAUCCUUUGUAGGACUAAAAGUGGUAGUGCCAUUCAGACAACACACAAGAUCCCAACAUUGUGUGAAAUAUUCUGAAUGGUAGAUCUCCAUCUUCUGCCAUAUAGGUGAAUGUUCUCAUAGGAGGAUCAGCCAAGCACACCUGUCCUCUCGCCUUCCCUCUGUAGAGUAAUUGUACCCAAUACUGUCUGUUCAGGACUGGGCUUCUCCCUCUACAUAAAAACGAUAUAAAUGGCAUUGUUUUUCAGACGGUAACCUUUACAUUUCAAUAGUCCUAUAUCUAAAACUCAGAUGUUGGAAAAUAAUGGCAGAAGAUACAUUGGUCCUGGUAUAUGUGACCUCUUCUAUAUCUGCUGCUAUGUCCACCUCGCCGGCGUCGUGCUAUGUCCACCUUACAAAGGUCGUGCCAUGUCCACCUCGCCGGCGUCGUGCCAUGUCCACCUCGCCGGCGUCGUGCUAUGUCCACCUUACAAAGGUCGUGCCAUGUCCACCUCGCCGGCGUCGUGCCAUGUCCACCUCGCCGGCGUCGUGCUAUGUCCACCUUACAAAGGUCGUGCCAUGUCCACCUCGCCGGCGUCGUGCCAUGUCCACCUCGCCGGCGUCGUGCUAUGUCCACCUUACAAAGGUCGUGCUAUGUCCACCUCGCAGGCGUUGUGCUAUGUCCACCUUACAGAGGUUGUGCUAGGUCCACCUCGCAGGCGUCCUGUUGGGUCCACCGCCCAGGCACCACGUCCACCAUAUACAUUUUAUGUUGUCUACUCUGUCUAGUUUUGUAUUCUGGUGUUACAGUUCCCUUGACUUAGUCAGUUUCUCCUCUUUCUGACUUGGUGACGGUCUCUUGUACUUUCAGUCAUGGUAUAAAAGCUCCACAUUCUCAGGAACUCAAAUCGGGUGUGUACUGUGGUGGCAUUAAGACCUCCAUUGUAAGAAUUCAUUGAAGGUGAGGAUCGACUUGUAUCGGGUGGGCUGGUGAGGAUGGCCUUGGCCUGCGUCAUGUUGUAUCAGGUGGGCUGGUGAGGAUGGUCUUUGCCUAUAUCAGGUGGGUUGGUGAGGAUGGUGUUGGCCUGUGUCAUGUGUUAUCAGGUGGGUUGGUGAGGACGGCCUUGGCCUGUGUCAUGUUGUAUCAGGCAGGUUGGUGAGGAUGGCCUUGGCCUGUUUUGUGUUGAAUCAGGUGAGUUGGUACGGAUGGACUUGGCCUGUGUCAUGUUGUAUCGGGUAGGUUGGUGCGGAUUGAAUUGGCCUGUGUCAUGUUGUAUCAGGCAGGUUGGUGAGGAUGGUCUUGGCCUAUAUCAUGUGGGUUGGUGCGAAUGGACUUGGCCUGUGUCAUGUUGUAUCGGGUGGGUUGGUGAGGAUGGACUUGCAUGUUUUGUGUUGAAUCAGGCAUGUUGGUGAGAGUGGAGUUGACCUGUGUCAUGUUGUAUCAGGCGGGUUGGUGAGGAUGGACUUGGCCGUGUGUCAUGUUGUAUUAGGAGGGUUGGUGAGGGUGGACUUGGCCUGUGUCAUGUUGUAUCAGGCGGGUUGGUGAGGAUGGACUUGGCCUGUGUCAUGUUGUAUUAGGAGGGUUGGUAAGGAUGGACUUGGCCUGUGUCAUGUUGUAUCAGGCGGGUUGGUGAGGGUGGACUUGGCCCGUGUCAUGUUGUAUCAGGCGGGUUGGUGAGGAUGGACUUGGCCUGUGUCAUGUUGUAUUAGAAGGGUUGGUGAGGAUGGACUUGGCCCGUGUCAUGUUGUAUCAGGCGGGUUGGUGAGGAUGGACUUGACUGUGGCAUGUUAUAUCGGACCAUGAUGUGCUCUGUAUCAUUUUCGCAGAGCAGGUUCUACCCUAAAAUGUGGUCUUUGCCGAAUAGUACAGAAGAGAAGAAUCCUGAGAAUGUUGGAGCAAAGUAGAGGGGCUUUCUUGUGGUGCCUUAUGUGGUUGUGGGAUAUUUUGGAUGGAGGGGUUUAUAAUGUGACAACCUUCAGAAUGAAGAGCUCCUGAGGAAGGGAGAUAGAGAUGGCCGCCACGUGGAGUUGAGGAGAAAUCCGGAGUGUUGUCCUGGAGGAUGGAACACAUUGUAUUUUGUAUGGACACUUUACAUGAUAGGAAAACAUUCAGUGACUUGUAUAUAAGAGACUUUAUACCUGAAGAGCUGGCGGGUUCCGAUCCCACCGGAGAAGUUCCCCCAACGAGCUUCUGCCCACUUCUCAGCAAGAUCAGCGGGACGUUGGAUGGACCCAACAGUGUGAAAUAGAAGCUACUGUCAAUGUAUACCUCAACACACGUAUAUACCUCAAAAUAUAACUAUAUACCUCAGUAUACAAAUCCUGCGCCAUAUACCUCGAGAGAUACAGUGACAAGAAAAAGUAUGUGAACCCCCGUGGAAUGAAUUGUUUUUCUGGGUGUGCUCAAUAAAGACACAAGAAAUUUGAAUUGUGUGUCAUGAGCUUAAAGCACAUUGGAGUUGUCUAUUGUGAUAUAGGUGAGGGUCAGAUCACAUUUUAUGGCAAAUUACUGCAGAAAACCUGGAGAUUCCAAGGGAUUCACAUACUUUUUCUUGCCACUGUAUAUAGUGUAAAGUACACUUCAACACACAAACAUAUAAAUCUUGUGGUGCCAUAUUCCUCACCCUACAAAGUGCAGUGAGAGACAUCGGAUGGGCUAAGAUUUGUGAACACCCGACCAUCACACCCAUGUCAGCUUGUUGGACAUCCCAUUCCAAAGCCAUGCCAUUAAUAUGGAGUUGCCCCCCCCCCCCCCUUUGCCACU
Molecule: long non-coding RNA, 4680 nt
Organism: Rana temporaria (common frog)
Lineage: Eukaryota; Metazoa; Chordata; Amphibia; Anura; Ranidae
Exons: 3
Source: RefSeq, a predicted model, not a curated record